GAUGAAGAACGUAGCGAAAUGCGAUACUUGGUGUGAAUUGCAGAAUCCCGUGAACCAUCGAGUCUUUGAACGCAAGUUGCGCCCGAAGCCAUUAGGCCGAGGGCACGCCUGCCUGGGCGUCACACGUCGUUGCCCCCCCAUCUACUCCUUCGGGAUUGCGGGGGGCGGAUGAUGGCCUCCCGUGCGCCUCGCCGCGCGGUUGGCAUAAAUGCCAAGUCCUCGGCGACGCACGCCACGACAAUCGGUGGUUGCGAAACCUCGGUUGCCCGUCGUGUGCGGUCGUCGCGCAUCGAGGGCUCGAAAAAAUUGCCGGGUUCCGGCUCGGCUUUCAACGCGACCCCAGGUCAGGCGGGGUUACUCGCUGAAUUUAAGCAUAUCAAUAAGCGGAGGA
Molecule: unclassified non-coding RNA, 391 nt
Filed under: soil metagenome
Description: partial contains 5.8S ribosomal RNA, internal transcribed spacer 2, and large subunit ribosomal RNA
Rfam family: 5.8S ribosomal RNA (bases 1-122)
Source: RNAcentral